RNAcentral lists this unclassified non-coding RNA (520 nucleotides) under uncultured Glomus. Its description in RNAcentral is "SSU rRNA". It matches the Rfam family "Eukaryotic small subunit ribosomal RNA", at positions 569 to 1090 of the family's 1831-position model. The record is from RNAcentral. Lineage: Eukaryota; Fungi; Glomeromycota; Glomeromycetes; Glomerales; Glomeraceae.
AGCAGCCGCGGUAAUUCCAGCUUCAAUAGCGUAUAUUAAAGUUGUUGCAGUUAAAAAGCUCGUAGUUGAAUUUCGGGAUCAAUUAAUCGGUCGUGCCUCUGGUACGCACUGGUUUUAUUGGUUUCUCCCUUCUGACGAACCAGGAUGUCAUUAAUUUGGUGUCUUGGAGAAUCAGGACUGUUACUUUGAAAAAUUAGAGUGUUUAAAGCAGGCUAACGCUUGAAUACAUUAGCAUGGAAUAAUGAAAUAGGACGUUUGAUCCUAUUUUGUUGGUUUCUAGGAUCGGCGUAAUGAUUAAUAGGGAUAGUUGGGGGCAUUAGUAUUCAAUUGUCAGAGGUGAAAUUCUUGGAUUUAUUGAAGACUAACUACUGCGAAAGCAUUUGCCAAGGAUGUUUUCAUUAAUCAAGAACGAAAGUUAGGGGGAUCGAAGACGAUCAGAUACCGUCGUAGUCUUAACCAUAAACUAUGCCGACUAGGGAUCGGAUGAUGUUAAUUUUUAAUGUACUCAUUCGGCGCCUUA